UUUCGUCAGCUCGGCUGGACAGGAUACAGGUGCUGCAUGGCUGUCGUCAGCUCGUGUCGUGAGAUGUUCGGUUAAGUCCGGCAACGAGCGCAACCCACGUCCUUAGUUGCCAUCAUUCAGUUGGGCACUCUAGGGAGACCGCCGGUGAUAAGCCGGAGGAAGGUGUGGAUGACGUCAAGUCCUCAUGGCCCUUACGGGUUGGGCUACACACGUGCUACAAUGGUAGUGACAAUGGGUUAAUCCCAAAAAGCUAUCUCAGUUCGGAUUGUUCUCUGCAACUCGAGAGCAUGAAGUUGGAAUCGCUAGUAAUCGCGUAACAGCAUGACGCGGUGAAUACGUUCCCGGGUCUUGUACACACCGA
RNAcentral lists this ribosomal RNA (361 nucleotides) under uncultured bacterium. RNAcentral's name for it is "bacterial SSU rRNA". It matches the Rfam family "Bacterial small subunit ribosomal RNA", at positions 1010 to 1393 of the family's 1533-position model. The record is from RNAcentral.